Molecule: ribosomal RNA, 257 nt
Filed under: uncultured bacterium
Lineage: Bacteria
Description: partial 16S ribosomal RNA
Rfam family: Bacterial small subunit ribosomal RNA
Source: RNAcentral
CGUAUGGUGCAAGCGUUAUCCGGAUUUACUGGGUGUAAAGGGUGCGUAGGUGGUAUGGCAAGUCAGAAGUGAAAGGCUGGGGGCUCAACCCCGGGGACUGCUUUUUGAAACUGUCAAACUAGAGUACAGGAGAGGAAAGCGGAAUUCCUAGUGUAGCGGUGAAAUGCGUAGAUAUUAGGAGGAACACCAGUGGCGAAGGCGGCUUUCUGGACUGAAACUGACACUGAGGCACGAAAGCGUGGGGAGCAAACAGGAUU